Molecule: transfer-messenger RNA, 375 nt
Filed under: Candidatus Physcosoma equi
Lineage: Bacteria; Pseudomonadati; Spirochaetota; Spirochaetia; Spirochaetales; Sphaerochaetaceae
Rfam family: transfer-messenger RNA
About the family: Bacterial tmRNA, also known as 10Sa RNA or SsrA, is named for its dual tRNA and mRNA-like properties. Its role is to liberate the mRNA from a stalled ribosome. To accomplish this part of the tmRNA is used as a reading frame that ends in a translation stop signal.
Source: RNAcentral
GGGGGUGUUUUGGUUUCGACUGGCUUUGCUAUGCCGUAAACUGCAGACCAAGAGCUGACUUGUAAAACCGGCAAAAAAAAUUAAAUGCAAAGAAAGAAGAAGACUACGAAGUCGAAUCUGAAGCAUUUGCUCUUGCUGCCUAAUCGCAGUUGAGCAGGGGAAACGAUCAAUUAAGUCCCUGGUUGGUUGUUUCCUUUGACUUAGGGGACUUAUCAAGAUUGAGUGCAUCGGUAUUCUUGAGACACUUAGAUGCUGCUUCAGGAGCAACGCUGGUUUCACUGCCCAGCCCUGACUAAGACUAGAACUGAAACUAUGUCUGUAGACGUUUGUGGGUGGACUGUUAGGACGGGAGUUCGAGUCUCCCCACCUCCAAUA